RNAcentral lists this ribosomal RNA (541 nucleotides) under uncultured bacterium. Its description in RNAcentral is "partial 16S ribosomal RNA". It matches the Rfam family "Bacterial small subunit ribosomal RNA", at positions 355 to 914 of the family's 1533-position model. The record is from RNAcentral.
UGGGGAAUAUUGGACAAUGGGCGCAAGCCUGAUCCAGCCAUGCCGCGUGUGUGAUGAAGGCCUUAGGGUUGUAAAGCACUUUCGCCGAUGAAGAUAAUGACUGUAGUCGGAGAAGAAGCCCCGGCUAACUUCGUGCCAGCAGCCGCGGUAAUACGAAGGGGGCAAGCGUUGUUCGGAUUUACUGGGCGUAAAGCGUACGUAGGCGGAUGAUUAAGUCAGGGGUGAAAUCCCGGGGCUCAACCUCGGAGCUGCCUUUGAUACUGGUCGUCUUGAGUCCGGGAGAGGUGAGUGGAACUCCUAGUGUAGAGGUGAAAUUCGUAGAUAUUAGGAAGAACACCAGUGGCGAAGGCGGCUCACUGGCCCGGAACUGACGCUGAGGUACGAAAGCGUGGGGAGCAAAGCAGGAUUAGAUACCCUGGUAGUCCACGCCGUAACGAUGGAUGCUAGCCGUCGGGGAGCUUGCUCUUCGGUGGCGCAGCUAACGCAUUAAGCAUCCCGCCUGGGGAGUACGGUCGCAAGAUUAAAACUCAAAUGAAUUGAC